Molecule: long non-coding RNA, 791 nt
Filed under: Olea europaea subsp. europaea
Lineage: Eukaryota; Viridiplantae; Streptophyta; Magnoliopsida; Lamiales; Oleaceae
Source: RNAcentral
CAAAUACAUAAAACUAGAAAUUAAAAAUUCAUAUAUCAUAGUUCAUCGUUUUCCUAGUACAAAAUGUAACGCCCCAAUUUCAUUAAAUUCCGGAGCAUUACGAAAAACUCAUUUUUCUUUAUUUUAUAUGUGGAACUAUAAAAAUAAAAUUCUUUAAUAAACAAAUAACUGCAACAUUUAUAAAUCUAAAUUUAAAACCAUGAAAAUCGUAUCUAAACAUAGCAUAAACUUCUAACUAAAUCAAAUAACACGUUUUGAACAAAAUUAAACUAAUUGGUAAAUUUAAAGACGGCAAACUUAUUUCUUUUUCUUUUUUUUUUCCUUUGAUCCACUUGGUAGCCCACAUCAACAAUUCGCCACCGGUCCAAUCGACCGGCACAAAUUUAAAAAAUUAAAGUAAGAGUGAGUAGUUAAAAAUACCCAGUAACAUACGUGCAUUUUCCAUAUACAAUUACAUAACAAUAAAAUCUACGCUUCAUACCGCUCUUCUCUUGUGGAGUAUAUCGGUGAUCAGACGACACACCGUCUUAGGUCCUCUUAAAUUCCCAUAGGAAUUUCAUAUCUCUUUCUCUAAAAUCCAAGGGUCCACUAGCAAUCCAUGUAUAUUUAAUUGUAUAUAAAAGCAUAUAGAAACAAAAAACAACUUGCACAUAUGUAUCUUAUCUCGUUUGAAAAAUAUGAAUGCACGUUCAAAAUCUUUUCUCCGCUUUGAAAAACACGUGAUUAAGAUAUUUGAUGUAUGAAAACUUUAUUUCCAAUACUCUUCUCUCUCUCUCUUUCCUUUCUCUUUC